RNAcentral lists this ribosomal RNA (254 nucleotides) under uncultured bacterium. RNAcentral's name for it is "partial 16S ribosomal RNA". It matches the Rfam family "Bacterial small subunit ribosomal RNA", at positions 524 to 776 of the family's 1533-position model. The record is from RNAcentral.
UACAGAGGCCUCGAGCGUUAGGCGGAAUCACUGGGCUUAAAGCGUGUGUAGGCGGACUUCUAAGUACCUUGUGAAAUCCCACGGCUCACCCGUGGAACUGCUUGGUAUACUGGUUGUCUUGAGCCUUCUAGGGGCGAGUGGAAACAAAUGGUGGAGCGGUGAAAUGCGUAGAUAUCAUUUGGAACGCCAAUGGUGAAAACAACUCGCUGGGGAAGUGCUGACGCUGAGACACGAAAGCCAGGGGAGCGAACGGG